GACGAACGCUGGCGGCGUGCUUAACACAUGCAAGUCGAGCGGUAAGGCCCCUUUUUGGGGGGUACACGAGCGGCGAACGGGUGAGUAACACGUGGGUGACCUGCCUUCAGCUCUGGGAUAAGCCUGGGAAACUGGGUCUAAUACCGGAUAUGACCUUUGCCUGCAUGGGUGAGGGUGGAAAGAUUUGUUUUGGCUGGGGAUGGGCCUGCGGUCUAUCAGCUUGUUGGUGGGGUGAUGGCCACCAAGGCGACGACGGGUAGCCGGCCUGAGAGGGCGACCGGCCACACUGGGACUGAGACACGGCCCAGACUCCUACGGGAGGCAGCAGUGGGGAAUAUUGGGCAAUGGGCGAAAGCCUGACCCAGCAACGCCGCGUGAAGGAGGAAAUCCUUCGGGAUGUAAACUUCACAAGCAAGGGAAGAGCGCGCAGGGUCGAAUAAACUCUGCGUCCGACGGUACCUUGCGUAAGCCACGGCUAACUACGUGCCAGCAGCCGCAGU
Molecule: ribosomal RNA, 500 nt
Filed under: uncultured bacterium
Lineage: Bacteria
Description: bacterial SSU rRNA
Rfam family: Bacterial small subunit ribosomal RNA
Source: RNAcentral